This 22-nucleotide non-coding RNA is filed under the name Arabidopsis thaliana (thale cress). Lineage: Eukaryota; Viridiplantae; Streptophyta; Magnoliopsida; Brassicales; Brassicaceae. The record is from RNAcentral.
UAGCUUUGUAGUCGCAGAUCUA